This is a long non-coding RNA of Pipra filicauda (Wire-tailed manakin), 2468 nucleotides long. RefSeq lists it as uncharacterized. NCBI's taxonomy places the organism in Eukaryota, Metazoa, Chordata, Aves, Passeriformes, Pipridae. The transcript is spliced from 7 exons. The record is from RefSeq and is a predicted model, not a curated record.
GGAGCCCACCCGCCCGCCGUGAAUAAAUCCACGAGUAAAAAUCUUGGGCUUUCAACGCCGCCCGCCAGGCAGCACUAAAGGCGGCUUUGUAGCCCUGAGAAGGUUGAUUUUGGACCUGUGUUGUAACCUUAUUUCCUUCUCCUUUUGUUCCUGGCUUGGGAGCCUAUGUGAUCUCUGGACCUAGCUCAUCAUUUUGCCUUCUCUGGGACUAUUGGAGAGCCCUGUUACCAGACUACCAACUUUCCAUAGUGGACAAAUAAUGAAUGCCGAAAACCAGUGAAAUCAUCAAGGCUGAGGCUCAUCCCUCAGAAGGAUACUGGGAGGAACGUGAAUGUCAGAGAACAGCAUGACAAGCCAUAACAAUCACAAGACCAAAUGUGUAGCCUCUGUGAUGCAAAUUAUAUUUAACCAGUUCUGGGGACUGAAUGUGGAUUGGUGCUUUGCAAAAAGACCUGAAGAGAGCUGAGGUCUGUGGUAGUCUUGAAAGACGUUGACUUAUGUCUUCUCUUACUAAGAAAGAGAUUGCUACCAUUCUGGAUAGCAUUAUUGUUCCAAGCGUGUGUGGGCUUGGACCCUAGCAGGCUGUAAUCGUGGUCAAGAUUAGACAACCCGUGUUAGACACACAGCACCUGAAGGAACACAGACCUAAGCUGCAAAUACUAGAACAGAUCAGUGAAGAAUCAACCAAGAAUUUUCCUGACCAAGUUUUUUAAAGGAUAAACUACUAAAUAUAUAAUAUCUAUGCUGUAAGCAAAAUCUAAUUUCUGUUUUGCAUAGACUGUUUUGUGAUGUCUUAGAAGAAGAAAGUCCUCAGCUCUAACUCCUGGUGCACAGCCAGACUCAAACUUCCUUAAAAGCAAAUGUGAGAUCUUUGUUUCAGCUUUGACCAGCAGAUGGGUCUGAGUUUACAAAGUUAAUUUAAGUCAGUUUGGAUUCCAUAUUCUUAUUUGGUUUCAUUACUCUAUUGCUAAUUAUAAUCAAUUAUAAAUAGGAGCUUUCUAGGACUUGAUUUAGAUCUACAGGUUUGGGGUUUUUUUUCCACAUUGUUUUUCUUAGUGAAGAUGGUAAAAGCAUGCUAGUUUUUCUCAUUCCACUUCUUCACUGAAGCUUCUUAAGAAAAUGAGAUACAAUAAAUCCAUUUAGGAUUAUGUUGAAAAAGCAUUUCUGCUUUUAAUAUUAGCCAGAUUUUUACUGCUAAGUUUUGCUGGCAAAUCUCUGAAAGUUUCAGCUUGCAACUUAUCUGGAUCACUUAAAUCUACAACACUGGCUUUGCAGACUUGCAAGAACAUCUGUUUUGAUUUCCAAUGCUAUCUUUUUUAGUCCUAGAACACUCUUCUUUAGUGUGAGUGAGAUUUUUUCAGAAUCUUAAAGGGCCUUAAGUUUUAACUCCAAAACAUAAUGAUUAUCAGGAGGAAGUAUCUCAGUGUAAUGUUUCUUGUGCUAGUACUUUCACUGAAUAUAGUGUGUAAAUGGAUAAAGAAAUAGCUGGAUGUUCAAGUCACACUUUUCUAUGGCUUUAGUGAAACCUGGCAAUACAGUAGCAUUAUGCACUACAUCUCUUAUUAUGCUCUUAUUGAAGCGUAGUUUAUGUUUAUAUAUCUUUAUAUAUAUAUCUUUAUAUGUUGUAAAGAAUUACUUAAACAAGUAGUGGCUAUUAAUGGGUUUAGUAGCAUGCUGCUGCUUUUCUUUGGUGGUAAAUGGAAGCACUUGGUGGGGAAGUAUUGGUCUGAAACUGAAUUUACAAAAAUUGUUCAAAAUUAAAUGCCUGAAAAAAGCCAAUGUAUUGCAACCAAUGACUAUCAUGUAGAGAAAGGACUAGUUAGAUAUCUGUUCCUUAAAUUGAUUCUGCUUUAUAAAUGCAAGAAUUAAUAAUGGUGUUGUGUACAUCUGCAAAUGGAAACCAAAACAGGUUAUGAUUUGAUAGCUCUGGUUAUCACUAGAACUUGGAACAAGUGCUCCAACUGAAAAAACAGCUCAUUAGCUCCUAACUUGUGCUCUCACAAGCUUCAUAGCUUAGCAGAAAAAAAAUUGAUUACCUGGCAUUCAAGAUCAGUUCCAAAUAACUAUUCCUUAAAUAUGCUAUUUUAUACUUCAAAUAAUCUGUAUACAUUAAUUUCUUAAUUUCUUAAUUUCUUAGUCCGUGUAUGUACAGAUAAUGUCACUCUAUUGGCUAAAACCUUUAUCCUAUGAUAGAUAUCUCUUGUAUAUUAACAAAAAUACCAUACUAUUGUAUCAAAUUGUUUACCAAAAUAAAUCUGUCAUUUUUUCUAUACACACUCCCACCUAAAAAAACAAUGGUGUUUUUAUUCCAUAGUUUAUACCAGACUGAUAUGUAGUGCCCUAAAUCUCAAAGGUAUUUAUGGAUAAAAAGCAAGUUAAUAUAUGCAUAGUUUUACUCGUACAUUUAAUAACAAAGCUUCUAAUUAAAUUCUAAUUGAAUUUGACUUGUCAUACUUACACUGUUAGAU